AUUGAACGCUGGCGGCAGGCCUAACACAUGCAAGUCGAGCGGAGGAAGGGAGCUUGCUCCUGGAUUCAGCGGCGGACGGGUGAGUAAUGCCUAGGAAUCUGCCUGGUAGUGGGGGAUAACGGCCGGAAACGGGCGCUAAUACCGCAUACGUCCUGAGGGAGAAAGUGGGGGAUAUUCGGACCUCACGCUAUCAGAUGAGCCUAGGUCGGAUUAGCUAGUUGGUGGGGUAAAGGCCUACCAAGGCGACGAUCCGUAACUGGUCUGAGAGGAUGAUCAGUCACACUGUAACUGAGACACGGUCCAGACUCCUACGGGAGGCAGCAGUGGGGAAUAUUGGACAAUGGGCGAAAGCCUGAUCCAGCCAUGCCGCGUGUGUGAAGAAGGUCUUCGGAUUUUAAAGCACUUUAAGUUGGGAGGACGGGCAGUAAGUUAAUACCUUGCUGUUUUGACGUUACCCACCGAAUAAGCACCGGCUAACUUCGUG
Molecule: ribosomal RNA, 484 nt
Filed under: uncultured bacterium
Lineage: Bacteria
Description: partial 16S ribosomal RNA
Rfam family: Bacterial small subunit ribosomal RNA
Source: RNAcentral